AAUUCUCAACCUAACCGGGUUUUGUAACAAAGCUUGGUUCAGGCUUGGAUUAUGGGAGGUUGCUGGCUUUUCUAUAGUUCAGCUCUUCUAAAAUGUAUUAUGGAGAUUUCAUCAUUGAAUCACAUUGAUAUGAUAAUUAUCUAUAUCAUUGCUGGUUAAAAUUGUUACAAGCUCCUAUUAAAAAGUCUUUGUGUCCCAACGACACAUUUCAUUUGAAAC
RNAcentral lists this unclassified non-coding RNA (219 nucleotides) under uncultured Entoloma. Its description in RNAcentral is "sequence contains ITS2". The record is from RNAcentral. Lineage: Eukaryota; Fungi; Basidiomycota; Agaricomycetes; Agaricales; Entolomataceae.